Molecule: non-coding RNA, 125 nt
Organism: Hordeum vulgare subsp. vulgare (domesticated barley)
Lineage: Eukaryota; Viridiplantae; Streptophyta; Magnoliopsida; Poales; Poaceae
Source: Rfam
CUAGUCCUCCCUCCGUCCGAAAAUACUUGUCCUAGAAAUGGAUAUAAUGGAUGUAUCUAUAACUAAAAUAAGUCUAGAUACAUUCAUCUUUAGGACAAGUUUUUCCGGACGGAGGGAGUGACAAU